UACGAAGGGGGCGAGCGUUGUUCGGAAUUACUGGGCGUAAAGGGCGCGCAGGCGGCUCUGAAAGUCAGAUGUGAAAGCCCCGGGCUUAACCUGGGAAUUGCAUUUGAUACUCUGGAGCUUGAGUGUGGGAGAGGAGAGUGGAAUUCCCAGUGUAGAGGUGAAAUUCGUAGAUAUUGGGAAGAACACCGGUGGCGAAGGCGGCUCUCUGGACCACAACUGACGCUGAGGCGCGAAAGCGUUGGGAGCAAACAGG
This 253-nucleotide ribosomal RNA is filed under the name uncultured bacterium. RNAcentral's name for it is "partial 16S ribosomal RNA". It matches the Rfam family "Bacterial small subunit ribosomal RNA", at positions 524 to 776 of the family's 1533-position model. The record is from RNAcentral.